GAUUACCUGCCCUGUAGGUGAUAUGUGAAAAAAUUGAUCCUGCAAAUUAGAUCUUUAGGGAGUCUGUGUAAGACAUUGGUGUGCAUGUUGCCUAUACGGCAAAAGCCUGAAGAUGCCUUCAGGACACCCACCUAUAUAAUAGGCGGAUCUGAUUCUUCACAUACACGACAGGGCGGGGACAAU
Molecule: non-coding RNA, 183 nt
Filed under: Nitrospira bacterium HGW-Nitrospira-1
Lineage: Bacteria; Pseudomonadati; Nitrospirota; Nitrospiria
Description: 6S RNA
Rfam family: 6S / SsrS RNA
About the family: E. coli 6S RNA was the first non coding RNA to be sequenced, but its function was unknown until recently. It consists of 184 nucleotides that fold into an extended hairpin structure with a large single-stranded internal bulge. The 6S RNA specifically associates with RNA polymerase holoenzyme containing the sigma70 specificity factor.
Source: RNAcentral